UACCAGCACCCCGAGUGGUCGGGACGAUUAUUGGGCCUAAAGCAUCCGUAGCCGGUUUUACAAGUCCUCCGUUAAAUCCAACUGCUUAACAGAUGGGCCGCGGAGGAUACUAUAAGACUAGGAGGCAGGAGAGGCAAGCGGUACUCAGUGGGUAGGGGUAAAAUCCGUUGAUCCAUUGAAGACCACCAGUGGCGAAGGCGGCUUGCCAGAAUGCGCUCGGCGGUGAGGGAUGAAAGCUGGGGGAGCAAACCGG
Molecule: ribosomal RNA, 253 nt
Filed under: uncultured bacterium
Lineage: Bacteria
Description: partial 16S ribosomal RNA
Rfam family: Archaeal small subunit ribosomal RNA
Source: RNAcentral